Molecule: transfer RNA, 73 nt
Filed under: Trichomonas vaginalis G3
Lineage: Eukaryota; Parabasalia; Trichomonadida; Trichomonadidae
Rfam family: tRNA
About the family: Transfer RNA (tRNA) molecules are approximately 80 nucleotides in length. Their secondary structure includes four short double-helical elements and three loops (D, anti-codon, and T loops).
Source: Rfam by way of RNAcentral
GCAUCCGUGUUCUAAUGGAUAUGAUUCUGCUCUCCGGAAGCAGAGAUUGCGGGUUCGACUCCCGUCGGGUGCU